Molecule: non-coding RNA, 185 nt
Organism: Brassica napus (rape)
Lineage: Eukaryota; Viridiplantae; Streptophyta; Magnoliopsida; Brassicales; Brassicaceae
Source: Rfam
AACAUCGACCGUGUCAUUUCCGGUUAUCUACGAUCAAGAGUGUCAAAAGGACGGUUGUCAUGGAAGUCGAAAUCCGCUAAGGAGUGUGUAACAACUCACCUGCCGAAUCAACUAUCCCCGAAAAUGGAUGGCGCUGAAGCGCGCAACCUAUACCCGGCCGUCGGGGCAAGAGCCAGGCCUCGAUG